GUUAUCGUUUAUUUGAUAGUACCUUACUACUUGGAUAACCGUGGUAAUUCUAGAGCUAAUACAUGCUAAAAACCUCGACUUCGGAAGGGGUGUAUUUAUUAGAUAAAAAACCAAUGCCCUUCGGGGCUCCUUGGUGAUUCAUAAUAACUUAACGAAUCGCAUGGCCUUGUGCCGGCGAUGGUUCAUUCAAAUUUCUGCCCUAUCAACUUUCGAUGGUACGGUCUUGGCCUACCAUGGUUUCAACGGGUAACGGGGAAUUAGGGUUCUAUUCCGGAGAGGGAGCCUGAGAAACGGCUACCACAUCCAAGGAAGGCAGCAGGCGCGCAAAUUACCCAAUCCCGACACGGGGAGGUAGUGACAAUAAAUACUGAUACAGGGCUCUUUUGGGUCUUGUAAUUGGAAUGAGUACAAUUUAAAUCCCUUAACGAGGAACAAUUGGAGGGCAAGUCUGGUGCCAGCAGCCGCGGUAAUUCCAGCUCCAAUAGCGUAUAUUAAAGUUGUUGCAGUUAAAAAGCUCGUAGUUGAACCUUGG
This 532-nucleotide ribosomal RNA is filed under the name uncultured fungus. RNAcentral describes it as "SSU rRNA". It matches the Rfam family "Eukaryotic small subunit ribosomal RNA", at positions 109 to 644 of the family's 1831-position model. Lineage: Eukaryota; Fungi. The record is from RNAcentral.